CGUCAUUCGCUCUCUCAAAAAGUCACAUAAAAAAAAAAAUAAUAAUAAUUGACCGCGUAGUUUUUGAGUUAUGGCCAUAGCAACACCAUAGCAACGAGGGACGCGCCGUCCUGCCGACCCCUACCUCAUGACGUAACUUCCAGGAAGCCUCACCACCACUCUGAACGCGGAAAUAUAGCACCACGCUAUCCUCGCCAUAUAUUGCAUACAUUUUCUGGGUUUUACUCGCGGGAUUCGUCAUGCCAUCUCGAUGUGUAGCGAUGAAUUACUCACAGGAAGAUUCGAGACUCUAGGAGUGGUCCCAAAAAAACUUCUCCUGCAAAGCCACGACAGCUUAGAAAACCUACAACAAUGCAACCUUGGUUUUGCAAAGACGAAGCCUAACAUAAAAAAUUAAGUGGCGGAAACCCUCAACACGAUGAAAAAAGCGUUGCAAGUCAGUUGCCACCCAGUUGCCACCCAGUUUCCCAAAAUCAAGAGAGAGUGGGUCGAGUCAUAUGAUGACCGAAGUGAUGCGGUGUCCAGCGAUGACGACUGAAGAGAUCCUAUGAGGCCUGCCAGAUGCUGAAUUUCUUCCGUCUGCGACAUCAGAUGACGAUGAUUUAGGAGAAAUAAAUGUAGCAAAUUUUGAUGACAUGAAAUCAUAAACUAGUCAUAUAUACAGUACACAUUUUUUAAAAGAAAAAUCAAGUUACCUUCAUAUUUUAAUGAUAAUGCAUUAUCUUUGUAUAGAGAACACUUCAUGCUACAGAAAAGAGUAAAUACAUAUACAUAAAUCUGGUAUCAUUUAUUAUUGUGGCCUAUUAAAUAUUUUUUCAGAAUGUAAUAUAAUUACAAUAUAUUAUAUACCAAUAGAAUACAUUAAACAGUCAACAAAAUGUGUCAAUGUUGUUACCAAUUUAUGGUUUUAUUUUUUUUAUGUAAUUCAUGCCCCUGUCAGUGCUUCAGCCUCCUCAAGUUUGGCUCUCACGUCUGGGAUCUCUUGAUGACACAGGCAUACUCUUGGAAGGGUAAUUACUUGACGGUUUACAGCAACACCUGGAAAAUAAAAUGGUUUUGUCAUUUAUUUUGAAAUAUCAAUAACAUACUUAGCCACAUUUGGGCUAGCUUUAUCAUAUUUAGAUCGGUAGGAGCUGUCCCAUUACGUAAUAUCCAGUUUUAGCUAUGUGUAGAGCAUUCAUUUAGCCAAAUUUGGGCUAGCUUUAUCAUAUUUAGAUCGGUAGGAGCUGUCCCAUUACCUAAUAUCCAGUUUUAGCUAUGUGUAGAGCAUGGAAAAAAUAUACAACCAUGUAAUCGCAUUCUGAUUUUAAAAAUCACGA
Long non-coding RNA from Corythoichthys intestinalis (scribbled pipefish), 1319 nucleotides. RefSeq lists it as uncharacterized. The transcript is spliced from 3 exons. The record is from RefSeq and is a predicted model, not a curated record. Lineage: Eukaryota; Metazoa; Chordata; Actinopteri; Syngnathiformes; Syngnathidae.